AUAUUCUUUCUUUUCAUGAACACAUAUAAUUCUAAUUUCAGUUGUAAGUGAAAAUAUUAAAGGCCAGUUGGAAUGGCUACGCACUCAUAAGGAACCAUUUGAGGAUGUAAAGGCGAGAUGGGAAGCAACUCAUGAGGCUAGACUUUAUAUGCUACGGAAUACAGAAAGUACACAAACUAUUUUUGAUUACAUAAACGACUUUAGUGUUUUGCAAUUGAGUUCUGGUUAUAUAUUGCUGUUGUCAGAUUUUAAGAAUUUAUACUCAGACUAUGAUUUGCACAUGUGGAGUAAAUGGCCUUCUUUGUCGCAAAAAAUAUGUACACUUCUGAAAUUAAAAGAUGAAAGUGAUCUUGCUAUUUUUAUGAGUUUGGGAAAUAUUUUCACUCCUACUCCAGUACAAUUAGAAAAUAAUAAAAGGUAGAAGCCAAACGCUCAAGAAGUACUUGAUGGAUUUAUACUUCAUGUAAAGAUAAACAACGAUUUAACACCAUCUAUGGAAAGAAUCGUCUUAAGAGCACAGCGGAUGAAAUAUAAAGUUCAACCUUUAAUUGUUGCUGUUGGAGCGACAUUGGCUGAAUGUAAAGAUUUCUACGUUGUGAUUGAUAAAAACUACUAUCAUUUUAAUGAUUGCAAGACUGCUGUGGAUGUUUGUUUCAAAGCAAUUCAUGCACUUCAUGCACAUUAUUCACCACAGAAUAAGACAAUUUGGUAUUUUCUUCAACAUGGUCUUUAUCAAUUGAAAACUUCUUGGGAUAAAGUUAUACCACAAGUAAGUAAAGGACCAAAAAAUUUAGAAAAUAUAAUGGAGUAAUAAUCAAUAUUAUUGGUAUUAUUGGUA
This is a long non-coding RNA of Formica exsecta, 838 nucleotides long. RefSeq lists it as uncharacterized. The transcript has 4 exons. The record is from RefSeq and is a predicted model, not a curated record. NCBI's taxonomy places the organism in Eukaryota, Metazoa, Arthropoda, Insecta, Hymenoptera, Formicidae.